Molecule: ribosomal RNA, 198 nt
Filed under: uncultured bacterium
Lineage: Bacteria
Description: partial 16S ribosomal RNA
Rfam family: Bacterial small subunit ribosomal RNA
Source: RNAcentral
GGCUGCAACUCGCCUGCAUGAAGUCGGAAUUGCUAGUAAUCGCAGAUCAGCAUGCUGCGGUGAAUACGUUCCCGGGCCUUGUACACACCGCCCGUCACACCAUGGGAGUCGGUAACACCCGAAGUCGGUAGCCUAACCGUAAGGAGGGCGCCGCCGAAGGUGGGAUUGAUGACUGGGGUGAAGUCGUAACAAGGUAGC